RNAcentral lists this ribosomal RNA (509 nucleotides) under uncultured bacterium. Its description in RNAcentral is "partial 16S ribosomal RNA". It matches the Rfam family "Bacterial small subunit ribosomal RNA", at positions 28 to 506 of the family's 1533-position model. The record is from RNAcentral.
GACGAACGCUGGCGGCGUGCUUAACACAUGCAAGUCGAACGAAGAGCGAUGGAAGCUUGCUUCUAUCAAUCUUAGUGGCGAACGGGUGAGUAACGCGUAAUCAACCUGCCCUUCAGAGGGGGACAACAGUUGGAAACGACUGCUAAUACCGCAUACGAUCUAAUCUCGGCAUCGAGGAUAGAUGAAAGGUGGCCUCUACAUGUAAGCUAUCACUGAAGGAGGGGAUUGCGUCUGAUUAGCUAGUUGGGGGGGUAACGGCCCACCAAGGCGAUGAUCAGUAGGUGGUGUGGGAGAAUGAACGGCCAAAUGGGGACGGAGCCACGCCCAAGACUCCUACGGGGGGCGCCGGUGGGGAAUUUUCGGCAAUGGACGAAAUUCUGCCGGAGCAACCCCGCGUGGGUGAUGACGCCCUCCGGUUUGUAAGGCUUGGUUAAUCGGGACAAAAGGCCUUCUUGCGAAAAGUGGGAAGGAUGGACGUUACCGGAAAAGAAGGCCAGGCCUAAUUAGUU